UUUUUUUUUCAUACUAAAAAUGCCUUGAAGCCCUGCUCUGUCUUUGUAGAAAGUAAAUACCCAGUGUCCUUCUCCUAACCUCUAAAACUCGGUGUCCAAGAUACUAGUUUUACAACCUCAAGGCUCACAGCUUUUUAAAAAUAACAAUAUAUUUUUAUGAUAUAAGUGCAAAUUUCUUUAAAUCUGAGGUACUUCCUUUAAGUCUGGCCUUUAUGUUUUAUUUUUUUUAAAUGAAAGAAAGAUAAAGCCAUUAACAAAAACAUGUUGUUAAUUAUUUCCCAAAAAAAACCCAUUUUUUUUUCUAAAAAAAUAUUUUUUAUUAGUUAUCUAUAUAAAGUGAGUCUUCUGUGAUUUUCUUUCUAAAUAAUUUGGAUAUGAGUGCAGCAAUCUGGAAAAUGACAGUGGGUUUUUUUGUUGAGAUCAUUUGCACUUAUAUUAGGAUAUUUUUGGACAUUUUGGUCAAAUUGACAUUAAAAUCAAGUACUGUUAUGUAAUAAUGAAAUGACUUUUUUUUCACUUGAUCCUCAAAAUAAUCUUAUUAUUGUCAUUUUACAAGUAAGAAAAGUGAAGCUAAGCCGCGUUAUAAUGACUUGUCCAAGUCAUGCAUAUAAUUGGAUAUUUCUGACCACAAAUCCUCACGCCUUUAUAGCAUACCUGAAAGCUUUCUUUAAUUGUGUCUCUUUUUCUAUUUAAAAGGUGAUAAUGUGAUUAUUUCAGGAGACUCUGAAUCCACAUUUCUUCACUUACUAUGGUUUCCCUCACCUUUGAGUUGGAGAUUCAAUCACAAGGUUUUAAACUUGGACUACCUCUGGUAAAUUAUUAUUUAUAUUUUUUAAUUAACUAUUGCUAUUUGAGUUUUAAGACAUAGGUAAACAAUGUUAAUGUUAUAGAGUUUGGUUUCUUAAAUGAAAGUAAUCUAUUAAAUAAAUUGAAAAUAAACAUUUCCCCAAGUUAAACAAAUAGAAAGCUUUCAUUAUCUUGGCUUAGGCACAUCGAUUUUCUACCAAAUUUUUUUUGGGUCUCUUGGAAAAUCUAAUCUGAAAUCAUCCUUAACAUGAUUUAAUGAGAAUAGAUUGUUUUAUCAUUACUAAUGCAUUUUUAUUUGAUUUUCUUAUGAAUAUAGAAGACACUGUGGUACUAGAAAUUGUUAGAGGCAUAUAGAAAGAUGCUUAGAGUUCAAAGUCAAAAAUACUGAUCUGCUACCAUUUUCCUCCCCUACAUUUUUAUCUGCUUUUAGAUUCUGAGAGGUUAUAUCCUUCUAGGUUGCUUGGCUUUCUGGUAUUUUAUAUUUAACACUCUGAGGGAGUUCCCUCAAUGGCUAGAAAACAUGAUAAUCCACACUUUCAGAAAUCCACAGCAGUUUCAUGUCAGCUUCCUAAAAUUAAUAGAGCAUCUCAGAAUGUUUUUGCCACAGAUAUAAGUCUACAAAUUUGUCAUUGCUGUAAUUUCCUCAAAGGGAUUUUAUAAGAAAACCAUUUUCAAUAGCAGAAAACAUUUUUUAAUAUGAAAUGUUUCAAGUACAGAAAAUAAUAAAAGAAUAACUUAUGUAUCUAGUACCCAGUGUGAGUAAUUAUACGAAAAUAGUCACUGAAACCCCUACAGAACAUUCCCCACAUCCCAUUCCCCUCCUCUCCUUCAGGAGCCACCAUUCUUUGAAUUUGGUGUGUCUCACUCUCUUGCAUAUGUUUUUACUUUAACUACAUAUUGACAUGCCUAUAACAAUAAAUUCAGCAUUUGAUAUUAUUUUAUACAUUCUUAAAUGACAUAUAUGGUCUCAACAUUUAUAUAUCCUUCUGCAACUUACUUGUUUUAGCUCAAAAAUGUGUUUUUGAAAAUUAUCCAUAUGAUUGCAUAUAGCUCUAGUUCUCUCAUUUUUACAGUUGUAUAGAAUUACAUUAAAUGAAUAGACCAAAAAUUUGUCCAUUUCUAUAAUGAUGCACAUUUAGGUUAAUUCAUCUUUUUUGCAAUUACUAACAAUGCCCCAUUGAACAUUUGCUCAAAGAUAUGUAGUUUCAAAUAGAAAAGUGCAUUGUUAACUGCAUUUACUAAGUCUUUUCUCAAAUC
This 2064-nucleotide long non-coding RNA is filed under the name Canis lupus familiaris (dog). RNAcentral describes it as "lncRNA (ENSCAFG00000056107.1)". Lineage: Eukaryota; Metazoa; Chordata; Mammalia; Carnivora; Canidae. The record is from RNAcentral.